ACCAUAUCACGUUCAAACACCGAGAUUAAGCAACGUAGAGCCUGAUCAGUACCUAAAUGGGUGACCGUUUGGGAAUACCAGGUGUUGUAGG
Non-coding RNA from Acanthosepion pharaonis, 91 nucleotides. Lineage: Eukaryota; Metazoa; Mollusca; Cephalopoda; Sepiida; Sepiidae. The record is from the annotation of a GenBank genome assembly.